Molecule: long non-coding RNA, 630 nt
Organism: Athene cunicularia (burrowing owl)
Lineage: Eukaryota; Metazoa; Chordata; Aves; Strigiformes; Strigidae
Exons: 2
Source: RefSeq, a predicted model, not a curated record
CCCCAGUCAAGGAACAGCGGGCAGCAAGGGGACAUGGACGGAGCCCGGCGACUCGGCCGCAUGGCCAGGCUGCUCAGCAUCGUCUCCAUUGUCCUGGGGACCAUCAUCAUCGUGCUCUACGUUUCACUCAGCAUCAGAGUUUCCUAGAAGAUGUUUUAGCAUGCAAAUACCUCGAAGAGGAGGAAGACAACUUUCCUUUUGGGGUUUUUACUUUCGGCCUUGCAACAAAAAAAUUGUCACAGUGUAGGUGGGCAGCCCUAGACAGCCUGCUCUGGAGCGCCGUCUGAAGGAACGCAUGCUUCUACUUCACCGCCUCUUGGAAAUGAGUUUGUACAAGUGAUGGGAUAAAAAACAUGGCAAGAAGGAAUGGGAGUGAACAUCAGACGUCGAGUGGAGAGGAGAAGGGGGAAAUCCACUACCUCAUUCCCCUCCAGCAAAACUCGCGGAGUGGGGAGACAACUACAGUACAGGAGGAGGAGAGAGUUUCAAGAGCGAAGCAUAUUUUAAAAGGAAAUUUAAGGCAAGAACAGGACAUUUUAAGGAAUCCUCCUAAGAGUUUUGGCACAAGUCACUGAAUUUUUGGGGGGUUGUUGGUUUUUAAAUCAUCAAAUUCUCUGUCUCUACAAAAAA